RNAcentral lists this non-coding RNA (106 nucleotides) under human gut metagenome. RNAcentral's name for it is "THF riboswitch". It matches the Rfam family "THF (Tetrahydrofolate) riboswitch aptamer". From Rfam's summary of the family: THF riboswitch presents a pseudoknot that joins P1-P2 and the loop of P3 and two THF binding. RNAcentral also lists the same sequence under 1 other name. The record is from RNAcentral.
CAGAGUAGGGUUCGGCGCGUCAAGUGCUGCGGGAUGGGAAGUUGUCCGCAGACGAAGUCAUCCGGAAUAUGCCGUGAUGGCGCGGUGCCGCUCCCGCGUCCGCUGC